CCAAAACAAGAAUGGGCAAGAGAGGGAGCACCUUGAUCAACCACAAGCCAAAACUAGCAGAAGCCUGUACAUUAACUAAGAAAACAAUUGAAGAAAAGCUUCCCUCAGGGUAGGUUCUAAAACUAUGCAGAUCCAAAAUGAGUUUAAAGAGUUUUGAAAAUUGGAAAGCUAUCAUUGCGACUGCAAAGGCUAUGAUAAUGAGUUAAAAGAAGAAGUUUUGGAACAUGCUAUUACUUAGUUCCUUCACUCUGCAAUUAUAGUUGUAACUUUGCUUGAAUCUUGUUGCAAAGAAAAGAGAAUAACAAAUGACUUUUUGGAGCAGGGAGCUCCUGAAAUUUCAACUCUGCACGUCCCCUUAUCAGUCUAUUUAUGCGCUUGCUAUUGAAGAAGGACCUUAUCCUUUCCCCAAGAUAAACACUACUCAGCUCUAAAGACGCACAUAAAGGAGUUAAAAUUACUUCCAGAAAUGUCUUUCUCCACUGUAUUCAAGUUGUGCUGUUAGUACAAUUCAGCGGCCUCCUGACUUUCAGUGAGCUGUGUCAGGCUACUAUGAUGGCCACCAGCACAGGAUUCUUGCCCCUUUUGUCAGUUACCAAAUACAAGAAGAAAGAAAGGUGUGGUGGUGUGUAAUCUGGUGUUCCCACCAGCAGCGACCAUCUGCAGCCAAUGGAAAUGUGAGGAAAAGGAGGAGGCCUAGCUUUCAAACCCCAAAUCCCACAAGUGCUAUAAACCUUCAAGAGAGGAAUUCAACUCUUCUUGUCAAAGAAAUAGGACAGAGUAAAAAAAGUAAGGGAAGAAAAAAAAAUUCCUAAGCUUUUUUUCCCUGCUAAUUUUCUAUUCUACAGUCCUCAGUUUCCCUGAGCAUUUGAGCUUAUAGUAGCUUUGAACUAUAUUAUGAAGGAAAGCUUAGGACUUAUUUCCCUCAUUGAACAAAGUGACUUUGGGUCAUAAUGCAAUCAAUUAAUUUUUAAAUUUGCCCUUUUAUAACCAUAUUACUGAGAGGUGAAGCCAGCUGGACUUCCUGGGAUGAGUGGGGACUUGGAGAACUUUUCUGUCUAGCCAGAGGAUUAUAAACGCACCAAUCAGCACUCUAUAUCUAGCUAAAGGAUUGUAAACACACCAAUCAGCACUCUGUAAAAACGAACCAAUCCGUGCUCUGUGUCUAGCUAAAGGAUUGUAAACUUACCAAUCAGCACUCUGUAAAAACGCAGCAAUCAGCGCUCUGUGUUUAGCCAAAGGAAUGUAAACACACCAAUCAGCACUCUGUAAAAAUGCACCAAUCAGCACUCUGUGUUGAACUAAAGGAUUGUAAACACACCACUCAGCACUCUGUAAAAUGGACCAAUCAGUGCUCUGUAAAAUGGACCAAUCAGCGCUCUGUAAAAUGAACCAAUCAGCAGGACGUGGGGAGGGCCAAAUAAGGGAAUAAAAGCUGGCCACCCCAGCCAGAAGCAGCACCCAGCUGAGGUCCCCUUCCAUGCUGUGGAAGCUUUGUUCUUUUGCUCUUCACAAUAAGUCUUGCUGCUGCUCACUCUUUGGGUCUGCACCAUGUUUAAGAGCUCUAAGACUCGCCAUGAAGGUCCAAGAUUUCAUUCUCGAAGUCAGUGAGACCACAAACCCACCAGAAGGAAGAAACUCCGGACACAUCGAAAGGAACAAACUCCAUACCUACCAUCUUUAAGAGCUGUAACACUCACUGCCAAGGUCCACGGCUCCAUUCUUGAAGUUAGCAAGACCAAGAACCCACCGGAAGGAACCAACCACAUUUUCAUUGCCAUAUUGUAUUACCCUCCAGUUAAUAUAUAUAUACACACACACAAUAAGCAAUCAAAAUAUCAAGAGAUUUAGAGGUCAGCAUUAUCACUUGCUCCUACUUUCUAUUACAUAUAAUAUUCAAAUAUCACUAUAGAAAUUUUAGCCCUCUGCUUGAGUCAUGAAUUACCUUUUCAUACACCAAAAUAUAGUAAUUUUGAAGAAGCAAAUGAAAAUGGUUUUUUCUAGAACUAAGCUGCUGCUUCAAAGUGAGAAGAUUAUUUGCAGUAUUAUAUAUUCUAUGCUGGAAAAGAUCUGAUUGAUAAUGAUAUCGAAUUUCAGCUUCAUGAUAUCAUUUCAGGGAGUCUUAAUUUACAGGUACUACUUUAUUCUUGGAAUUGGCAUUGAAAAAUAAGUUUGCCUAUUUCAAUUGGGCUCUUUCUGAAAUUGCUUAGAAACAGUUACUGAAAUGGAGUUAGGACUCCAAAAUUUUAAUAGGGAAAAAAAGCCUGAGAAAGAUGCAAAAAGAAGUAUGAUUGGGUAGGGGUUACUGUCAGACUGCAAUGCAUACUUGAACAAAUCUUUCCAAAUGAAGAAGGAGGCCCAGAGAAGGACUGCUCACUAGAGGAGUCCCAAGUAGGGUAGAAAUGACUGGUUUGUUUUUUUAUCCACUGCCUUGCUCUUUUAUGGGCUACAGUUUGUCACAAGAAGAGCAUAGCCUUAGCUUACAAUCCAAAUUGGACACUGAGUUAACAGUUAACUGCAUUUCUUGCAAGAGAGCAUUAAGUUUUCUUCUGAAAGGAGGUUUGAGCUGAGCAUUUACAUGUCUGAGAGUAAACCUGCAACAAGGAGAUUUGUGAAAAGAAUUACAGUCCCAUCUUUGCAUUUGGUCUUGGGACUGCAAAUAAUACUUAUCAUUUUCUUUCCCACUAUUCAUUCUAAAUUAUUCUCUCCUUAGCUACCACUUCUUCCAGUCCCUGUAGUUUGCCUGAUAGUUUGACCUAAACCCUUAUUUCAGAGGCAUCUGAAUAACUGAUAACCUUUCUCCAGAAUUAGUUAUUGCAGGUGUUCAUUUACAGUCACAGUUGGCAAAGAUAUACCAAGAGAUAAAAGAGAUUUUUGCCUGAAUUUAACAUAUGCACCUCUGUGCCACUUCUGAGUAAAUACAGAGAGUUACCUUUGCCUAAUCAGGGUCAACUACCUCUGUUGAGAUGAAUACUCCCCUUAUUGCAUAUUGGUCCCUGGACAUAAGGAGCCCAAAGUUUCUAGCCAGCAGCCAUAGCUUUUAAGUCAAGGAAACCUGAUCUGUCCCAAGGUAAGAGUGCACACUCUGAGGAUCAGAGUUACAGGGACAGGAAGUACAAGUCCCUUAGUGAGUCAAUAGAAGUGAUAAGUUGGCCAAGUUUGCCCCUGCCCUCAGUUUCCCCAACACACGUAUUCUUUCUAUAGGAGACAAAGUACCCUUUGAUGCAAUGCUCUCUAGUUUUAUGUGUACACUAUGCCCUGGAGGAUGGCAACCAAUAUUUACAUGCUAUUUCCUCCAAGAUGACACUUCAGUGUGUCUUUGAAACAUACCAUUCUAAUACUCUAUUAUUCUAAUACUUCUAGACAGAGCUGCUGGUGGUAGGGGUAUGUGAUAUGAUCAAUAGAUCCCAUGGUCAUAGGACCAUCCAGUAUCUUCUACACUGUUGAAUUGAUUUCCCGUUUAAAUGUUGUGCUUGAGAAUCAGAUUUGUAAGUUCCUUCAAGGAGUGCUAGCUGAAGCUCUGUGGGUAGCAAAGGCAAAAUUAUAGCUGAAAUUGUGGUCUAUUCCUGUAAGAACAAAUUGAGAUACUUCCCAUCACGGCCAGUUCAUCUCUUCGAGUAGUAACAUCUAACUGGGGCUGUUAGUCUAUGUUGCUGACAGGUUGCACUAUCAAAAGCAGAAGUAGCUAGAUCAGUAAGGGCAAGUGGUCCAUGUUGUUGGAAUAAUGCAUAACUUGAUUAUCUGAAACCAUGAUGCCACAAAAUUCUUAAUAAUUUUCUCUUGGAACUUGUGUUUUGUAACUGAAGUCCGAUGAGACAGUACAACGUACAAGUAAGCAUAGGAGAUAUGCACAGUAUCUGAGUCCACCACAAUUCUCAAUAGUGCAUUUAUAUGUAGUGUUCAUGAUGAGUCACGAAAACAAAAUUUUGUGGAUUGGUAAUGUGUGGGAGCUUAAGGAGGCCCAAAGCAGUGAGGACAAGGAAAGCAUGUUAUGUCUGCUACUCAGUAAGCACAGGUGUUGAUGCCCCUGAAUCAUCGUGUUCAAGCCAGAAUUUGCUUUGCUGACAGAAUAGCAAUAACAUCAUGGAUUGUGUUGUUCAAAAAAUAUGUUGAAGUAUUAACUUCCAGUACCUGAGAAUGUUAACUUAUUUAGAGGUAAGGUUAAAAUCCUGACCUCCAGAACUAUGAGACAAUGUGUUGCUGCUGCUUAAGCCACAUAGUUUGUGGUACUUUAUUACAUCAGCCCUAGGAAACUAAUUCAGAUGAUGUAAGAAACAUGAAAGCACAGGGAACACUAUUAAAUGUUUUCUUUCCUGUAUUACCUCCCUGUAUUACUUCUGCAUAGUUGUCAACCUCUAAUGCUGGAAAUGGCUACACAGGAAGGAAAAGAAAAACAAAGUAACCCAUAGUUUCUUUUCCUUUAGUUCUUUCUUGUUUCUCAGUAAAAGGCAGAAUGUUGAUAUAAUGUGCAAAUAUCAAAAAGGGAAAAAAAAGAGUUAAGUCAGAUUGGGUAGCAUGUCCAGUGUUCUAGCAAGAACAAAAUAAAUAUGCAAGUAUGAAAUAUAAGUUGUUUAUUAAUUGCACUCUGGUUUUUAUUAUCCAUCUGUGGGGUAUUGAUGCAACUGAGAUAUAAACAUCAGAUUCCAUUAUUUUCUUAUUUAUUAUUUUAUGCAUACAUUAUAGAUGCCUCAGUCAUCACACCAGUUAAUGCAACCUCCUACAUUGACAAAUUUUUCCAGGAAGACAAGUCAAUUUUUUUUUUCCAUUUGGAUCUUCACCUUAUGCUAGAGGGUGGGUCUGCCCUCCUGAAGACACAAGAUGAGACCCUAAUGCUCUAGUAGUCAGCAAGUGAUCUCAUCUAACUACUUCCUCUCCUGGACCAUUCCCAGCAUCGAUAUGGUGGUUGGGUUCUGAGACAGAUUUAGGAAGGCAAAAAGGAUUAUUUGGGUUAUAAUCCCAAAGAAAAGAAAAGCGUCAAAGCUUGAUUGGGCAGGGCAGCCAUCAAAUUAGAAACAGUCCUGACAAAAUCUUUUCCCUGAGAAAAGAAUAUAUUGGCUAAGAAGCUGAAGCAGACCCUGAGGCAGCUAAUCAUUGUGUUCAAAGCUGGGCAGAGAGUCUUUCCCAAAAAAGUAUUUAAGCAAAAAAAGCUGUGUUUUCCACAUUACCUACUUUUUCUAUCAACAUUUCAAAAGGAAAUUUGUAAGUAUUAAAUAUUAUAUUGCAGUAAUAACCGGAAGUUUACCUUUUUGAGAAAAGUUCCCAUCCACCUUAGCAGUUCUUACUUAAAAAAAUGGUUAGUAGUCUCAAUUCUUCUUGCUAGCAGAGAAGAGACAAACUUAAUAGGUCAAGAAAUCUUUAAGUCUUUGAAGGAGAAUGGUGUCUUGGAAUAAAAAAAAAAACUAAUUUUAAUGAGAAUAUCACAUAUAUUCUCAUUAAAAAUCUAUCUUAGAUCUAAAUUGGUGUUUUCAUCAAAUGCUAGGAGAAGUGUGGUAGCUGUUAUCAGAAUUACAGUGAGAUUCUAGAUUUUUUGCAUAACGAGUGUAGAGUAUAUAAACUCAAUAUAUUUUUGCUAAAUUAAUUAGGAUUGGGAAAAUACAUUGUGGAACAAGUAAAACAUUGUCAGAACUCAAUGCAAUACAAAAUUAAUUUCUCCUUUUUUUCAUAACUCUUUAAGCUAAUUAAGUCCUUGUCCACCAAAGACAGGAAGCCCUCUAGUCCAACUUCCUUUCAUCUAUUAGAAUUACCUCUACACAAUGCUGGAGGUUGGGCCUGGUCAGAGGUGAUUGGAUCAUGGAAGUGAAUUUUCCCUUUGGUGUUGUUCUCAUGAUAGUGAGUUAUCAUGAGAUCUGGUUGUUUAAAAAUGUGUAGCACCUCCCACUCCUCUCUCUUUCUCUUGCUCCUGCCAUGUAAGACAUGCCUGCUUCCCCUUCACCUUCUGCCAUGAUUGUAAGUUUCCUGAGGCCUUCCAAGCCAUGCUUCCUGUAGAGCCUGUGGAACUGUGAGUCAAUGAAACCUCUUUUCUUUAUACAUUACCCAGUGUCAGGUAUUUCUUUAUAGCAGUGCAAGAGCAGACUAAUACCCUGAAGGACAGGAUUUAUACAUGAUUGCAAAACUGAAAUAAUUAUUAGUUACUUCACUGGCUAUCAGUAUAGAAGUGUGCUAGAACACUGAGGAAAUUUUACAUUUCUCAUUACCAUAGAAAUCAGAAAUACAUGGCCGAAUUACAAUAUUUAUUAUGGUGUACCAUGAGAUGUGAUGCAGUAAGUGCUAUUAAACAAAAUAGAAUAUCAUACAUGCAAUUUGUUGAUCUGUUAAGGACAUGUUAAGUUUAAAAUAUAAUAGUGUAUUUAAUAGCCCUAAACAAUAUUAUUGAGAUUUUUAACUUAUAUGGUCCUUUAAACAAUAUACUGUCUGUAUCAGCUUCAUUUUACCUUUGGUGUACCAUUGGUCUUUCCCUAAAGAGAGUACAAUGACUAAAACCCAGAUUGUGAUUUAUCUUUCUGCAAGAACCUGUCCCAUGCAUUUUGCAGCUUUUCUUGUAAAGUAGAUCGAUUAUCUAUCUGGCGGUACUCAGUUUUCAGCCUUACAUGGAUGUGUUGGAGGCCAAAUUGCAUGUGCCUUCUUUACACUGGGCAGGUGCUCUCCAAUGGACUUAGUUGUCAGCAUUGUUUCUUAUAAACAGCUUGUAAGAACUCCUUGUAAUGUUGAGUUUAUACGUUCUGAACAUUAUUAUUAUUAUUAUUAUUUUGAUACGGAGUUUCACUCUUGUUGCCCAGGCUGGAGUGCAGUGGCACGAUCUCGGCACACCGCAACCUCUGCCUCCCGGGUUCAAGUGAUUCUCCUGCCUCAGCCUCCUGAGUAGCUGGGACUACAGGCAUGCACCACUAAGUCCAGCUAAUUUUGUAUUAUUAGCAGAGAGGGGGGUUUCUCCAUGUUGGUCAGGCUGGUCUCGAACUCCCAACCUCAGGUGAUCUACCCACCUGGGCCUCCCAAAGUGCUGGGAUUACAGGCGUGAGCCACGGUGCCCGGCCUGAACAUUAUUUUAAUAGCUAUAGAACUAUAAGCAAUGGAUGUGCCAUGAUUUAUUUCAUAAAUCCUUUUAGAUUGACUUUAGUAUUGAUUGGAUGUAUGUUUUUUCUGUUGUAGAGUUGCAUCAAAUAACUCUGGACAAAAUAUUCACCCAUUUCUUAAACAUCCACCCAUUUCGUAAACAUUUCUUGUGAUGAACUCUUAAACUAGAUGUAGAAUUGCUGGAUCAGAAUAGACUUAGAGAUUUUAGAAACACUUUAGUCUUUCGGAUCAUCAUCAGGCCCAUGAAAGCAUCCUGUAUUUUUCGUUUGCACUAUGUUAAGCCAAACACUGACCACUGCAUAUGUAAAAACAAAUUUUAAAACAUAAUUGGUCAAAAAUUGUGUAGUAGUUAAUUUUCAUUGUAGAAAAAAAUAAAAUAAAGAAAAAUUUAAAGGAAAAAUAAAUGUACAUAUAUGUUUGAGAAUUUUAUAAAUGAGGAAAAAAAAUUAAAAAAUUGUCCUGUGGAAUAUGUGGACCUAUUACUAAAAAUAGCUUCUCAAAACGUUGUUAGCACCUCCUAGUUCUCUCUCUUUCUUAUUACUCACCAUCUGCAACCUUGUCCUUACAGAGUUUUUUACAGUAAUGUCAUGCUUAUGUUUACAGAUCUCAGCCUCACAUCCUCAAUAGAACAUUCCCAACCCUCUUCACAGUGUACACACAGGCACUCUCUCUUUGUUACACACACACACACACACACACAGACACACACACACACACACCCUUUCCCUUAUUCGGGGGUGAGGGGAACAAGAAGAAGCUAUGAGGCCCCAAUCUAAAAUGAUAAAGAAUAC
RNAcentral lists this long non-coding RNA (7859 nucleotides) under Homo sapiens (human). RNAcentral describes it as "HSALNT0204718". The record is from RNAcentral. Lineage: Eukaryota; Metazoa; Chordata; Mammalia; Primates; Hominidae.